This 1367-nucleotide ribosomal RNA is filed under the name uncultured bacterium. RNAcentral describes it as "bacterial SSU rRNA". It matches the Rfam family "Bacterial small subunit ribosomal RNA", at positions 8 to 1366 of the family's 1533-position model. The record is from RNAcentral.
AGAGUUUGAUCCUGGCUCAGGAUGAACGCUAGCUACAGGCUUAACACAUGCAAGUCGAGGGGCAGCAGGACGGUAGCUUGCUACUGUCGCUGGCGACCGGCGCACGGGUGAGUAACGCGUAUCCAACCUUCCCCUGAGUAGGGAAUAGCCCGGCGAAAGUCGGAUUAAUGCCCUAUGUUGUCCGACGAUAGCAUUUGAAUUGGAUGAAAGAUUUAUCGCUAAGGGAUGGGGAUGCGUCUGAUUAGCUUGUCGGCGGGGUAACGGCCCACCGAGGCGACGAUCAGUAGGGGUUCUGAGAGGAAGGUCCCCCACAUUGGUACUGAGACACGGACCAAACUCCUACGGGAGGCAGCAGUGAGGAAUAUUGGUCAAUGGGCGUAGGCCUGAACCAGCCAAGUAGCGUGCAGGAUGACUGCCCUAUGGGUUGUAAACUGCUUUUAUGCGGGAAUAAAGUCAGGUACGCGUACCUGUUUGCAUGUACCGCAUGAAUAAGCAUCGGCUAACUCCGUGCCAGCAGCCGCGGUAAUACGGAGGAUGCGAGCGUUAUCCGGAUUUAUUGGGUUUAAAGGGUGCGUAGGCGGGAUUUUAAGUCAGCGGUGAAACGCAAGGGCUCAACCCUUGACCUGCCGUUGAAACUGGAGUUCUUGAAUGCGGAUGCUGUGGGAGGAAUGUGUGGUGUAGCGGUGAAAUGCAUAGAUAUCACACAGAACACCGAUUGCGAAGGCAUCUCACAAAUCCGUGAUUGACGCUGAGGCACGAAAGUGUGGGGAUCAAACAGGAUUAGAUACCCUGGUAGUCCACACUGUAAACAAUGAUAACUCCCUGUCGGCGAUACACAGUCGGGGGGCCAAGCGAAAGCGAUAAGUUAUCCACCUGGGGAGUACGACCGCAAGGGUUGAAACUCAAAGGAAUUGACGGGGGCCCGCACAAGCGGAGGAACAUGUGGUUUAAUUCGAUGAUACGCGAGGAACCUUACCCGGGCUCGAACGGCAAGUGAACGACACAGAGAUGUGAAGGUCCUUCGGGACACUUGUCGAGGUGCUGCAUGGUUGUCGUCAGCUCGUGCCGUGAGGUGUCGGCUUAAGUGCCAUAACGAGCGCAACCCUUGCCAUUAGUUACCAGCAUGUAAUGAUGGGGACUCUAGUGGGACUGCCACCGUAAGGUGUGAGGAGGGGGGGGAUGACGUCAAAUCAGCACGGCCCUUACGUCCGGGGCGACACACGUGUUACAAUGGUGGGUACAGAGGGCAGCUACCUGGUGACAGGAUGCAAAUCUCGAAAACCCAUCUCAGUUCGGAUAGGAGUCUGCAACUCGACUCCGUGAAGUUGGAUUCGCUAGUAAUCGCGCAUCAGCCAUGGCGCGGGGAA